CAGCAGCCGCGGUAAUACCGGCGGCCCGAGUGGCGGUCACUAUUAUUGGGCUUAAAGCGUCCGUAGCCGGGUUGGGAAGUCCUCCGGGGAAUCUGGCCGCUUAACGGUCAGAAUGCCGGAGGAUACUCCCAGCCUAGGGGGCGGGAGAGGCCGAGGGGAUUCCCGGAGGAGGGGUGAAAUCCUAUAAUCCCGGGAGGACCACCUGUGGCGAAGGCGCUCGGCUGGAACGCGUCCGACGGUGAGGGACGAAGGCCAGGGGAGCAAACCGGAUUAGAUACCCGGGUAGUCCUGGCUGUAAACGAUGCGGACUUUGUGUCGGACAAGCUAUGAGCUUGUCCGGUGCCGGAGGGAAACCGUUAAGUCCGCCGCCUGGGGAGUACGGCCGCAAGGCUGAAACUUAAAGGAAUUGGCGGG
Molecule: ribosomal RNA, 414 nt
Filed under: uncultured microorganism
Description: bacterial SSU rRNA
Rfam family: Archaeal small subunit ribosomal RNA
Source: RNAcentral